CCAAACAUCAGUAAUAUGGACAUUUUAUUAUCUAUUAAAUACUAAUAAAAAUGAGUGAUUUAUGUAGCUUGUAAUCACUACACCAUAAAAAUACUGUUAAGAAAAAAAAAAAAAAAACCCAGAUAAAGUUGUCUGUGUCUUUUGCAAAAUACAAAAUGUUUGACUGUCUUAUUACACUAUUAAUAACAUGGGUUUACAAAAACAAAGUUAAUAUAUAGCUAAAUGUUUUUUUUAUGUAAUUGUUGUACAAAUAGCAGGCCCUCUAAAUCUUUAAAACUACAGGUACUUACGUAAUUUCUGCAUCUGUAAACCCAUAUUCUCUUGUCAGAGAAUCUUUUUCGAAGCUGAUGUCUGUAUGAGCAUCAAGAAUAUUUACUCUAACUUUCUCUGUGUAAAACAAAAGUUAAAAUAAACGAGUAAAGAAUGACUUCGGCCCUAUGCUCCACUGGGAGUGAUUAGGAUUAAUAAGAAGAAAGAAUGACUUUUAUAUUCUUUUACAAACAACUCUAGCCUUGUCUGAAAAUAAAUAUUAUCAACGACAUGCAUGUUACUUCUUCAGUAAAAAGCAACCACCAGCCAGAAAGGAAAUCUUAGUUUGAGCUUCAUAUUGAAAAUGGUGAGUGAAAACAUCUACUUGCUCUCGCUCUCUCACACUUACUCAAAACUCACCGAUAAGAGACUGAUCAACUUUUGUUUCUGACAUAACACGUAAAACAUGGUGUGUAUAGUCAGCAGAGAAUACCAAACACUGACUGUUGGAAUCCACUCCUAGCUUAAAUACUUUCACUUCCCCAGCAGUGACCAAGUCAUUCUGACACCAAGAAAAAUAUACUUUAAAACAAGGCUUACCAUGAUGUUUUGGAAAAUUGCCAAAAAAGUAAAUAUUCAAGUAUGAUGCACAUGUCCACACACACUGGCAAACCCACACCAAACUCAUCAUGAAAGUAUUGUAAUGUAAUAUAACAAAUAAGCACUUAAUUAAAAUUAAGAAAAAAAAAAAAAAAAAAUCAAGUAGAUAAUGCUGCGUUGUUUUCAUGCAAUAAAGUUAAAAACCAAUUAUUAUGAAUGUAACAUUUUCUUGAUAUAGACAUACAUAUCAAAAUAUAUGUUUUCUGUUUUGAAAUUACCAAGAAAGGAGUUUCCAGCACUUUACUGCUGUGAAAUAUGUCUGUGCACAGAGCAAUACUCAACCAGCUGUGUGUGCGAUUUUUGACCAGACUGUAUAACUGGUGUUUCAAAAUAAUAGGUGGUAAUCUUUCCUCAAAUUUCUCCAGAGGAAACAAUCCUCGCAACAGCAGUAAGGCAGCUUUAGUGUCAGAUGGUACUUCUAUAAUAAGACAUAAAGUUGCAACUAAUUCACUACAGGUGUAUCAAUGCAACUGAGCUAUAGAUAUAAAGACUGUAAGGUACGAGUUAAAGAUAAAAAGUUAUUUCUGUCAGGAGUGAACCCCUACAUAAAAAUGAUAAUAAAAGGCUCAAAACUUUUAAUAAUAAUAAAGAUUAUUUAUAUAGUGCCACAUCCCAGCCCUAUGAACACGCUCAUGAUGCGUUACUAAUGAUUUUAAUUAUAACAAUUAAAAAAACAAUCAAGAUAAGGAGAAAUUGAAGAAACCAACCAAGAUGACAGGAAAGAAAAAGGAAUAACACGUGGAAUGGGGGAACGUGUAGUGCCAUCUGAUUAAUGACUAAUUGAUUAUAGUACUGAAUAUUGUACUGAACGAAUAUAGUACUCUGUUAUCCAACAAAUCUAUGAAAUUAAAAUAAAUGCAUAAAUUAGGGAAAAAGAAAUCCUGGAGACAGAAGAAAAUGGAGGACCAAACUUGUUUGUGCAGCCUAGCAACAUACUUCACUGUUGAAGAUUUAGUGCUAAGAUUGCAAUAGUUUGUCAUCGAAGAAGCCAUUAGAGAGAACAAAUUAAGAAUGCUGAGGAUACACCUCCCCAGGUCAAACAAGUAAACAGUUUUGCUGCCUCGAGUCAUCAAGACGUUUUGCCACACUGCACAUUUCAUCUAAUUGUUGACAUACACAAACAAGAAACUGGAUCGAGAUAAAAAUGGCGCCAUAGAAGAAAGGAGCAUUACUCAACCCAUCAGCUAAAGCCAUAGAAGUGAAACAAAAUGUCAUGAUCGAGAAACACAGUCCAGCACAUCAUUAGUUAUAUUGUUUAGUUUAUAUUGUUUGCAUAUAUCAAGAUCAAGAAAUGUAUAGCAGCUCAAUCUGCCUGAGACAUCCUCUUGUAGAUGACACUACAAUGAAUAUAUAACAAUUGUAUAAUAUGGUCAGAAGCUAUUUGAAAUGACUUGCAUAGGAAUGCAGAUAUCUAACCCUGCUUGGUACAGCGAUGAAUUAACAUGCUGGAAUGGUUGAGACCUGGAUUUACAAUGACUAUGAAUAUAUAAGACAAGUUUCAGGAUGAAAGUGAUAAAUGUUAUAUUGAAGCUAACUUCACAAUCAUGCUGGCCAAGUGUGAACAACACUUGUGGAAUGUCCCUAAAUUACAUAAGAUUGCAAGAUGAGAAUUCACACAUAAGAAGCCUUAUCUGAGACACUGAGAAUUCAAAGAAAUCUAACAGACAGGCUGUGAGAAACAAUGAAAGGCAAAGGCCAUACAAUCUACUAGGCUACAGAAGACACAUGAUAUGGCUUUUGUUUUUUGAAAGAGAAUAUCCAGAGUUGACAUUAGCUAUAAUGACUGUCUAAUAAUGGCUAAUUUCCACCAGUUCUCUGUCAGGCAUUAUAGCAUUACAAUAAUAAGACACAGCAGGAACAUAUGGAAUGAAGACGAGCAGUGACAACAGCAGUCAUAGACAAUAGACAUCAUUAGGAGCAGGCAGCGGUCUACUUGAAUCAAAAACUGGAAAACAAAAUUUUUAAGUACUUGGGAGCCAGCAUGUCCAAAGAUGGCUGCUGUUUUCCAGAAAUUCACAUCAGCAACCAAACACAAGACCAACAGAUUUGUAGGGAUCACUGUCAUCUCCUUGGGAAGCCCCUAUGAACUUGUUCUGGCAACAGCAAAAAGGACGAAGCUUCCCUAUUUUGGUAAGUGGAUUGCUGUAAGACACCAACACCUUCCAUUUGGACAUCCUGGAUAAAAACUGAUGUUCAGGUUCACCAAAAUAGGAGUGACUGACAAACCUCAUAAAGUGGAGACCUGAAGAUCUGACCAACUUUCUCCCACAGCAAAGCUCACAAUACAAAAGAGAAAAAGAAAGCAUUUUAGCAGCUGCUUGCAGACUCCCAUCCUACCCCUAGUGAUCAAGUCCCACUCCUAAUAACCAAGUCAAAGAUCAAUUUUAAUUGCUCAUUAAAUCACUGCCCUAGUACUGUUUACUUUGAUUUAUACAGACUUUAAGCUAUAAGGUUUGUACAAACUUAUCUUUCUACAAAAUGGGUCAACAAACUGAGUCAAAAAACUAUGUCUAUUCCUCUGGUGAGCUUGAAACGCUGAGCUGUAAUCGAUAAUUAAAAAGAACGCAAGAAUGUGACUGAAAUGUUUAUUACAUAUUAAGUUUGGCAAUCAAGAUGGUGUCUGAUAAUAUCACCAUCCUUCAAAAAAUAAAACUGGAUAUAGGUGAACACUUCAUUACAAUUAUUAGUGUGCAAAAUAUUAAAAAGAAUACGUUGUCAUACUUGACAAACCGUUUGAAUCUCCCCGAGUACUAGGCAUUCCAUUUUCUUCAUUAUUUGCAGAUGAUGGCACAUACUGACGUUUAGCCUUAUAUAAAUCUGGCAGCAGUGUUCUUUUUCGACUCAUUUCUGUAAAGAUCAGAUGCCAGGGAUGAUGACACUAAGUAUUAAUAAUAAUCAUGUAAUAUCCUUUGAGCACUAACAUUUAAAAAAAAAUCUUUAACUUGAAGGCACUAAAGUAACGAAUGUAUAUAGCAUCAUCAAAUUUUAAAAUCUAAAAUUUUAGAAUUAUGUCCAUUUUUGUCACUAGCAUUUAAUAUGAAACAAUAUGCUACUGACUGGAAAACUGGAAAUCUGUAAAGGAUGCUUUGUGUACUCUCUAGGUAUAAGGAUAACUGAGUAAUCAUGAGAGUAUAUGUUGGACUCUAUUACUUAACCUGUUCCCUUUCCUUUUUUUUUUGGUCAGGCCAUCCUACAAGCACAAUGGUUUUGCUGGUGAUACCUGUCUGAUGACCACAUUGUGGACUAAACAUUUUCUUUCAUUUAGGACCAAUCUCUUAGUACUUGUGCAGACAAGCUGAAUUAUGAAUUUGAAAUUACACAUUUGUUCAGUAUUUUGAUAUUUUCUAUUUAUUAAUUUGUUUCAGAACAGCAUUCUUUUACUAUAUAAAAGAACAAAGUCAUAGUAAAGGAGCAACAUCCUUUGUGGGGGCAACCACAAGUAGCACAAGAAUUAGCCCACAAAUGGCAUGGCCUCAAAAAUAAGAUACAAUAUGAGGUCAUGGCUCUGCAGGACAGAGAGCGUUAUUGGAAGGUUGGUUUUUACAGAUUGGUAAUUAAAUUCUAAGAGACUACACAAACUCAGGUGUGGGCGUUAGUGAAAAUAGAAUGAUUGAAGUGAAAUAAUCCUGAAGUGAUCCGAGGGGAUAAUUUAGAUCUAUUCUUUCAUAUGGAGGCAUUGUUCCCAAUGAGCAAUUUUGUGUGUAAAAAUACAUGAAAAAUAAAUGUAGCUUUCCUUAUCUGAAUGUUGCUGCCUCCAAAUUUGUUUUAUUCAGGGUUGGAUGGGGAAAGGUUAAAUAAAUUCUCUCCCUUUAACCGAUUUUCCUUUAGGUAUGGUGUGUUCAACUUGAACUCGUGGGUGAAGGCUGCACUGGGGAAUGCCUGAUUCAGGCUUUUCAGCAACAGCAACUGUUGGCCUUUUUGGAUUAGUUUUAUUGUUAAGAGGGAGAUGUCUCUUUGCUAACUUACUCCCCUAUUUGGUUGUUUAUAUACAGCCUCCACUCACUGUGUUUUCAUAGCAUGCAGUAAAUUCAUUCCGAGAUAAAGUGCAUUAAUUUUGUUCUGCUUAGGCUAACCUUUUUAAAUUGUUUGCUCUCCAGGAAACAUAUAUGUAUACAGCAUAUAUUUUGACAAAGAAGAAAUUUUGGCGAAGUAGACUGGAUUUAUGAGGGAUGAUAGCCAAACCUGAAAGGAGCUGGCACCCCGACAGUGGAUUUAUUCAAGCCGAAUCAAAAGUUGAGGGUGAGGUGUUGGAACGCCCAGACCUUGUAUGAAACUGGAUGCUCUAACAAGUCAAAGAGUUUGACAACUACAACUUGGACAUCCUGGGAGUCAGUGAGGUCAGAUGGACUGGUACGGAGACUAGCGUCAGGACAUACCAUCUUGUUCUCAGGAAGAUCAGACGCUCAGCACUCUGAAGGAGUAGCCCUACUCCUCAACAGGAAAAGUGAAAAGGCACUGCUAGAAUGGAAGCCUUAUGGACACAGGCUUUUUGAGAGCAAGAUUCCAUUCAAAGUACACCAAGCUAACAGUGCUAGCUUGCUAUGCCCCAACAGAACACUCCAAGGCAGAAGACAAGGAUGCUUUUUCUGUUUGUCCAUGUGACACCAGUGAUGGCCAGCCGGUCUUUUAAUCAACAAGUGCUGAUAGAUUGGUUUUGUAGAAAACACAGGAAAGAGUGUUGGGGUGUUUUGAAUUCUUUGCUGUGACUGAGUUUUUCCUUGACAGGAGCGGUCUUCUCGGUGUUCUCAGUGUGUCCUGAGCGGACAGUGUGUCCUCCUUGUAACAAGUCCUGAAUCGACUUGGAGUUUUCGUCCUGACUGGGCUGUGUGCAAAUACUGACGAUUGAUGAUGAUGAUGACUGAUGACGACGGACAGACGGUGGACGGAUGGAUUGGAUGGUUGAUUGAUGAUGAUGAUUAUGAUGCACCUUAUUGUCCUGUGUGCAGAAAAUAUUUAAUGAUUCAUAUAGUAAGAGAGUGUCAAUAUUUGUAUAGUCAAAGUACAAUGGAAUAAUUUAAUAUGCAGGAGAGAGCACUUUCACACAUUGGUGUGGACUACUACUUUGAGAUGAGAAUAAAUGGCCUGACCCAUGUGCUAGCACAAGAAAGGCAAUCAGUUCCAUCGGAUGUGAGGUAUCUGCAUUAAUGUGUGCAGAAAAUAUUCAAUGAAUUAUAUGGUAAGAGAGUGUCAAUAUUUGUAUACCUUGGAAAAUCUAUAAAAUCCUUGCAAUCAGUUAAAUGACUUUUAUAUUUUUGUUAAAGAUGUCAUGCUACAGGGGAAAUGCAGUCAGCCUGAUAGGCAUUGUUCUUGUUUUUAUAACCCACGAAGUCAGUAAAGAACUUACUGGGAGAAAACGGCAAAUUACAGGAAAUAGAGAAAUCCCUUUGUGUUCUGCAAUGAUAUAUAUAAAGAUAUAUUGACCUUCACCAAUUGCAAUGUUUUAAACUAGCUUAUAUCCACUUCAGAUUUGGGAUGUCCAAUAUAACAACACAUAAGCUACGAUACAGAAAUGAUGUGGCCCCACAUGACGUGGCAUGUCCCCUGUGCAAAGAAGAAAUAGAAGAUCAAGCACAUGUACUCGUUUUUUGUUGUUGUAAAGCUUAUACUUAUAUCAGAAUGCAAGUCCCAGUACUGCAAGGUGUGUGCCCUAGAGACCCAAACAAUGUGUCACGGGUUAUGGGAGAUGCGGCUGAGGAAACCAUCAAACAGCUUUCCCGCUAUCUGUAUAGAGUUUUUAAAUUGCGCGAUGCUAGUUUGAUGUUUAAUGACCCAAUGUAAUCUUGGAAUAUGGUUGACCCCUUGAUUUGAGCUAUCGUGCGCUGGUAGAAAGCAUAAUUACAUUCAAUAUUGUCUCUUGGUAUGGCCAGACAAGCGUGACAAACAAGAACAAACUGAGGCGCGUCAUAAACACAGCCAGCAAAAUCGUAGGCUCCUAACAGCUGACCCUUUCCCACCUGUACGAUUCAGCCCUUGUCCGGAAAGCAAAACAAAUCAUGCUUGACCCCACCCAUCCACUCAACCCCCGCUUCGAGCCUAUGCCCUCAAGACGGAGGUUGAGGGCCACUCUUGCGAAAAAGAACGUUUAUAGAAGGUCAUUCAUUCCAUCGGCCAUCUCUGCUCUCAACAAACAAAAAACUAUAAGCGACUAGUAGACCGAACCUGACGUGUUACACACAAGGGGGAUGACGUAAUCCCAUCUCUGUUAUCACUGUCAUUAUGUAGUCAUGGAAACUGGUGUAUUGUCCUUUUGAUGCGGGCGUGUGUGUGUGUGUGGGUGUGUGUGUGCUCACUUCUGCCAUUGCUCAUGUUAUUGUUGAUGUUUUUGAUUUUCUCUCUGCUUGCAUGCUGGAAGACACAUCUCCUUUGCUGGACAAUAAAGUUAUCUUAUCUUACUGUUUGUUAAUGAAGGGAUAGUAUUUAUACUACAUAUACAGUAUUUCGAAAACACAUCGAAAAGAGAUAAUGGAAAAAUAUCCUACUGUACCCAUUGUCUUUUCUCAAUUCACUAAGAAAUGUGGGUUUCCAUCUGAGGAUUGGGGAAAACAGUGGAGGAGCCUGUUCGAAGACAAGAAACAAGGUGUGGUGAAUUGCUACUUGCUUUUCAACACAUUUCUCUUCCUUUUUAUUCUACAUGCCUGCUCGUUCGUAACCAAUUGCAUUAAUGUCAAUAAUAAAAAUUGGGCUUUGCUGAAAAACCUGUGCAUCCUGCACGGAACAUGGCCAUCCAUAUACAUCAAAAACAGAAGAGAUUUGUUGCCGAUAACCUGCAGUUGAAUGAUUAUGUCCUUUUUACGACUGACAAAGCAAAGCAGGAUAGAUCUAAACAACAGCUACUCAAGAAAAAGCUGAAGAAAAGGCAGAGUACAGGGAACAAGAGAAACCCCUUUGUGGUCUGAUUAUUUGAAGUCUUGUAUUACACUGAAAAGAUAUAGGACUGAACUAGUAAAACUGAAAAUACCGAACAUGAAAAAUAAGAUGAACAUUGGUCACACCAAGAUGCGUAUACAUCUGCCUUUGCUAAAUAAAAAUUACUGUCAAUUAUUUUUGUCUCAUUCUAUCUGUGUGGUGCAGAGGUGGAUAUGUGUGAGUACCUUAAAAGUACAUGUUAAAAAACCCCCAUGCAGGUUUCCAGUCUGAGGAUUGGGGAAAACAGUGGAGGAGCCUGUCCGAAGACAAGAAACAAAAAUAUGAAGAUAUAGCUUUCACAUUAAGGAACAAAAGACUUGAUGUGAAUGCCGUGUUAAGAAAUAUUAAAAACAUUGUAAGCUACCUGAUGUCUUGAAAGAAAAAUGUUAGAUAAUGUGAACAAAAAAAUUUCAUCCACCAGAUUUAUGUGCUUAACAAUCUGCCAUGUUUGUGCUUCAGUAUCUAGAUACUUAUUUUUUAUUAACUUUAUUUAUUGCCAAACAUUGUUAUUCAGCAUGGACUGCUGCAGAAAAAGUUGACUGUUAACUUCAACUAAAAUUUAAUAAUAAGCAAAACAGCCCUUGAUAAUAUGGAACUCAAAUCAUUUAGAUGUUGGGAUUCUUAUAAUGGUGCUUGCUAUUUUGCAGAUGACCGUGCUUCGAGAAAAUCAGGAGGAAGUCAGGAAGGCAGUUGGUGUGGAAUCAAUGUGCACACUUGUGUACAAGGAUGGUUCCUUGUUAUGCACUGGAUUUGGCUGCCUUGGGAACCUCCUGAGCGACAGAAGGACUUGCACUGUAUCCUCUCAUGUCACAUUCAUCUUUAUGGAAAUAGAGAUGUUGAAUUUGUAGAUUUGUCUUGUCAUUAUACAAUAUGACACUAUGGUACAUAAGUGCAUAAAGUAUUUCCAAUACUUGGAAGGCUAUUUGUACUGUAAGCUUUUUUUUUUUUUUUUUUUGAUAAUCCAAUUUAUGUUUAUAAGGUCUUGUUAUGCUUCCCCUUGAAACGGGAAAGAAAAAUGGACAAACGAAUAUAAGUGAACCAAAAAAUGAACCAAAAAAUAAAGGAAAGAAAAAAUCAAACAAAGAAAGAAAAAUUUUAUAAACAAGCCUCUUUUAGUGGAGUCCUAUUUCAUCUGAUUCAUCUACACAUAUCCUGACGCCUUGUCUGUCUCUGUGUGUCGCAGAAUCCUCUGAUGGAAAAAGAAAAGGCCACCGUUUAAGCCCAGUCAUCUUGAAGGCAUUAAAAAAAGAAUUUCGUAAAAAUAAUUACUUGAAGCCUGCCGCGCUGAUAAGACUCAUAGAAAGCACGCACCUAGAAGAAGCGGUUAUUAAAGUAAGUACAGUAAACUGGUCCAGUGGUUCUCAAAGUAUUUCGGACCGCUGACCACUUUACUUAAGUACAAAAUAUGGCGGACCACCAAGGCCUAAAAAAUCACUCUGUACUAUGAAUUUCAAAUUUAAAUUGCCGCAUUUGUUUCAUUACAAUUCAAAAUUAAAUGUACUUAACAUUGUAGUUCUUCCUUCCAGAAUUGGUUUUCAAACCAACGGAGGAAGCAAGGAACAAAGCCGGCUAAACAACAACAAAAAAAAUAAAUAAAUAAAUAUGAAAAAAAAACAUUGUCUAUAACCUACAACAAUUUACUGACAUUUACUUCAGUAAUGAUUUUGCCCAUGUACCUUGUGCAUCAAAAACUCUAAUUUGGCGACAGUAGAUCCUUUCACACUGAUGUUUAUGCGCAAGGAUUGUCUCUCGUAUAACAGGCACAAACAAUGAUAUAUCCUGAAGAAAAUAAAACACAAUAAUACGAGCUCGCUACAGAACCUGUAAUAGCAAUGGAAGGAAGAAUAAUGGACAACUCCAAAACAUUGGAUGGGGAAGAAAGAAUGGGCCGUCACCGUGAGAAGACCACCAGCAGCAUGAAAAAAGGUAGACCGCCUCAGUCUGGGGACCGACAGCAACCAAAAGACAGAGGCAGAUCUGCAAAGGAUGGAGGACAAUCUGGAGGAUCAUAAGAUGAGAAGGAGAAUGGUAAGCUUUGCAGCAGCAGCUAUUUUCUUUAGGGUUUUAUUAUUACUGGGUUUUUUUUCUCAAGAAUGCUGCAUAACUAUCAUUUAAGUGCGUCUUAAUUCUGUCAUAACAGUGUCAUGACAGCAUGCAUUAACAUGAGCUUUCGGUCACAUACCUCAGUAUUGUAGCAUUUUAUUUACUUUUCAGAUGAAGUAUCUCUCCUCCAUGGGGGGGGGGAUAAUGUUGCAACUUUGGUGCGCAGCAUACUGAGGAGAAUAUUCUCAACUCCACUUGCACUUCAGUACAAUUUCACUGGAGUUAAGGGGAAAAAAGGAUUCCUUGCACUCAGAGUACGAGGAGUAAUGAUGGGUGAAUUUGCUUUACUGUGUUUGCGGAAAAUAUUUCCAGGAUGUGAACAUUUAAUAUUGAAUUUGUGUUGCACUUUAUCAGUGCCACUGUAAAGGCAUGUGGAUAAUGAAAUGUGAAAAGAAAUAGGAAUUUUUAGUGGUAAUAAAGUGUACAGAGUUUAGGUAGUAAACAUGCAUAUUAGACAUAAAAAGUGCGGAUGUCAGCGAUUUUGCCGCUGAAUGGAAUUCAAAAAAUGGUUUUAUUGCAAUUGUCACGGUAUCAGUUGCCAUGGAAAUAAUCCAAAAACCGAGAAAAGAAAGUGAAAGCUUAGUAACUUAGUUUUAUCUAAGCCUUUCAUGUAAUUUGCCUAUAAAACCAGAUACCGAGACGUACAAGAAAACACGUGGUUAGAGUUAACAAUUGAAAUAGUAAAAGUAAAAAGGUGAUAGUAAAUCGGCGAAGAAAAAAAAAAAA
Long non-coding RNA from Pomacea canaliculata, 10644 nucleotides. RefSeq lists it as uncharacterized. Lineage: Eukaryota; Metazoa; Mollusca; Gastropoda; Architaenioglossa; Ampullariidae. The transcript is spliced from 2 exons. The record is from RefSeq and is a predicted model, not a curated record.